Arachis ipaensis is the source of this 1073-nucleotide non-coding RNA. Lineage: Eukaryota; Viridiplantae; Streptophyta; Magnoliopsida; Fabales; Fabaceae. The record is from RefSeq and is a predicted model, not a curated record.
CCGCCAUACUAUCCAUAUAUUAUGGCAACUUUUGUUGCUGCCGUAAUUGGCUUUGUUUAUUUUGCCGGUUAUGGUGAUUACGGCGGUCUUGAACCGCCGUUUUCAACGUAUAUAAAAUAAAAAAAAAAACACAAUCCUAGCUCAUUCAAAGAAACAAUAUACGGCGCUCUCAUCUCCCUUCUAUCUCUCCUUCGUCUCCGACAACGCCGUUCUUCCCUCUAGGGCUUCUCCUCUCUCCGCCGGUUACGAUCUCUCCAGUGCUGUGGACACGAAGAUUCCGGCGAGAGGCAAGGAUCUGGUGGCUACUAACCUCAGCAUUUCAAUUCCAGAAGGCACCUAUGCCCGCAUUGCUCCACGAUCGGGUCUUCCGUUGAAGCAUUGGAUUGACGUUGGAGCGGGGGUGAUACUGUUCAACCAGUCGACGAUCUCAGAUCUUCUUUCGUGACUUUACCCCCUCCUCUCUCUCUCUCUCUCUCUCUCUCUCUCUCUCUCUCCGAUCUCAGAUCUUCUAUUACUUACUUCUAUUAAGAAAAUUGCUCGAAUUCGACUCGGCAGUUAACAUUCUCGUUAACUCGGCCGGUGUUCUUGAUAGCAAGUACUCGACCAUAGCCAACAUUGCAGUGGAGGAUUUCGAUCACAUUUUCAGGAUGUACAGUAUGAAUCCCUUGAAUCUAUGUACAAUACCAAGCAUUUUGUGGCAAGCCGGCUUGAUAGAAAUUCCCUGACAGGAGAGGUUCCUACAAAUCGUUGUAAGAGAUGAGUUUGGAUAAUGAAGUUGGAACAAGUUCUCAGGAUGAAACUCACACAAGAGACCAAGAAACUAAAGCAGGCUUGUUUUAAAGUUACUUACAAAAAGAGGAAACUUUUGGCCUCCAAAUCUUAUUCAUCAUCAAUUAGCUAAGUUACUUGUCCUGUAUAUUCAUAUUCUAAGUAGUAAAAACAGUACUUAUUAGAUGGUUUAAAUAUAUUAUUAGAUAUUAACAUAGUUUAGGGAACUGGAUGGUAGAUUUGACUGAUUAGUGUUAUUGCAAUGCUUGUAUUUUGGUAAGUUUAGUAAGAUAAGGAUUUGUAUA